This 2203-nucleotide long non-coding RNA is filed under the name Olea europaea subsp. europaea. Lineage: Eukaryota; Viridiplantae; Streptophyta; Magnoliopsida; Lamiales; Oleaceae. The record is from RNAcentral.
GUUGGCUUUAGUCGUUAGAAUGGAGCAAUUAUAGGAAGCUGUUUAUUUGUAAAAUCCCAUAAUUCAAGGGCGACGGCUAAUCUAGCCAUCAAUCAUGCUUUAUAUCCAGGCUCAAAUCUAGACUCAAAUCUAGAUGGAACACAUGUCAAUAUAUGAUUGGACAAUUUGAAAAAAUUAAAAUAAAAACAGCCAAUCAUUUUCUAACAUAUCAAUCUAUCUCUUUACUUCCCUAUUUUUAAACGUGGCUAAGUGGUUUUAUUCUCUAGCCAUAGACAUUGUAUAACCUAGAAUAGCCCCCUAAAUUUUCUCCCUGUAGCUAUAUAUCAUUGUUAUCGAUACUAAAGAUGAAUAUACAAAAAAAAAAAAUAGAAACCUUUUUGUUAACAUUGUCUCAGAGCAUGUUUCUAAAAACUCUGCUCUAUCCACUCUUUGACCAAUAAACAAUCUAGAACUUGUGAAUCCAUGGUAGAUUCAUCUAAGACGGUGCAACACCAGGACCCCCAGGCUGAAUCCAUUCAUAAUGAAUUGACGAACAAGAAGACGAAAGUUCUUACUAUAACCCAAGCCUCAUCACAUCACCGCUUGCUAAUUCUUCAACUGCUCCAAUCGGCAUUAAGUUUGAUCGCUCCAACUAUCUCUUGUGGUCCCAGGUUGUCGAGUUAUAUAUCUCUAGCAAAGAUAAGUUAGGAUAUAUUAAUGGGAACUCUCCCAGCCUCUGGAAACUGAUCCCAUUUUUUGGACAUGGAGAAUCGAGAAUGCCAUUGUCAAAGGAUGGUUGAUCAACUUGAUGAAUUUGUCCUUGAUCGUGAACUUCAUUCGCUUCCCGAUGGCCAAACAGUUAUGUGAUUCUGCUGCUACAACCUAUUUUGAUGGGAUUGAUACGUCUCAAGUCUAUGAUCUCCAAUAUCUGGUAACUCGCAUGAGACAAGCUGACGGAUUCAUUGAAAAAUACUACAACGACCUUCAAAGUUUAUGGCGAGAAAUCAAUUUUCGUCGUCCCAAUCCUAUGGCAUGUCCCAAUGAUAUCCAGAAAUACAACUUAAUCUAUAGGAAGAUAGAGAUUAUAAUUUUAUUGACGGGUUAGAAGAUCGACCGGACAAAAUUCGGAGUGAUAUGCUACAACUGAAAGCCAUUCCCUACAGUAGAACAAGCCUACGCUCAUGUUUGACAAGAAAAUGUCUGGUAGACCGUGAUGACCUCAAGUAUGGAUUCAAAUGCUGGCACUAUUAUGGUAUCUAAAGGAAUCAAGACAGGCAAAUUGUAAUACAAAAAUCGGCCAAUCUAAAGAAAUCAAUACCCUGCGCGCCUCGUUACUGUUUAAGGCGAGGCGAGUCAAGGGCAGGGCAAUUGCCUCGUUUACGUACUCAUUUAAUUUUUUAGUAGUUUUUGAUUAUUUAUUUUGUUGCGUAUAUUCAUUCAGGUGAGAUAAUAAUAUAGUUAUUAAAUUUUUUAAUUAAUUAAUUUUUUUAAAGUUAAAUUAUUCGAAUAUAAUUGGUAAACUAAGGUUUUUAUUGUUUAUCAUAAUCCUUAGAUAAUUUAAUUUGUCAUCUUCGAUUAGAAUUAAUGAAAUUUCAUGGAGAUUUUUCAUUUAAAUUAUUGAAAUCUUAAAUAAAAAAUUUAAACAGGGCGAGGUGAAGGCGAGGUGGGGGCCCCUGUUACUCGUCCCCGAGCCCAUCUCGCCUUGAGGCAGAACUUUCCACCCCUUACCCGGAUUACCCGCUUAACAUACAGCACCAAACAUACACAUACAUGCGAUACUUACUUCACAUAGGUAUCCAAACUAGUAGAAUGAACUUUAGGCACAAAAAAAGUGAGACUACAACCAUUGAUAAAGGCACAGGUGUUACGAAUUAGACCGCUACUAGUUCCGCCAGGAUAGGUGGAACGCAAAAUAAUUUGAACUGAGAAGAAAUAAAUGUAGCAAAAAUAAUAAGUGCAAGUGACACAAGAAUUUACGUGUUCGGCAAUCGUGCCUACGUCCACAAUUCCACACCAAUUCUUUUACUGUAUCAACAAGAGAAUAAAAGGAAUACAACAAAUACACUCUCUGUAUUUUAUUUGCCUACGCAAAGAGAAUCUCUCAAUUUUCUCUCGUUAAUUUUCUGCACAAACGAAAGCCUAACUGCUUCUCAUUUGUAUUUUGCUCACUAUCUCUUGUGUUUUCACUCUACACGAUUUUCUUGCACUUUUCUUUUGCUCAUUU